Molecule: small nucleolar RNA, 87 nt
Filed under: Drechslerella stenobrocha 248
Lineage: Eukaryota; Fungi; Ascomycota; Orbiliomycetes; Orbiliales; Orbiliaceae
Source: RNAcentral
UCCUGAUGAAACCUUGAUGACGAGUCUGAUUCGGGUUACCGUUGACGACAACACCAUUUCUUAUAACCAUUCAUGCCUUAACUGAUA